RNAcentral lists this ribosomal RNA (468 nucleotides) under uncultured bacterium. RNAcentral describes it as "partial 16S ribosomal RNA". It matches the Rfam family "Bacterial small subunit ribosomal RNA", at positions 28 to 507 of the family's 1533-position model. The record is from RNAcentral.
GACGAACGCUGGCGGCGUGCUUAACACAUGCAAGUCGAACGGAAAGGCCCUGCUUUUGUGGGGUGCUCGAGUGGCGAACGGGUGAGUAACACGUGAGUAACCUGCCCUUGACUUUGGGAUAACUUCAGGAAACUGGGGCUAAUACCGGAUAGGAGCUCCUGCUGCAUGGUGGGGGUUGGAAAGUUUCGGCGGUUGGGGAUGGACUCGCGGCUCAUCAGCUUGUUGGUGGGGUAGUGGCUUACCAAGGCUUUGACGGGUAGCCGGCCUGAGCGGGUGACCGGCCACAUUGGGACUGAGAUGCGGCCCAGACUCCUACGGGAGGCAGCAGUGGGGAAUAUUGCACAAUGGGCGGAAGCCUGAUGCAGCAACGCCGCGUGCGGGAUGACGGCCUUCGGGUUGUAAUCCGCUUUCGCCUGUGACGAAGCGUGAGUGACGGUAAUGGGUAAAGAAGCACCGGCUAACUACGUG